GAUCUAUACUUUCUGUAUCUUUGGUGCUGGGACUCAUUCAAAAUCAAAGAUUAUCCACCUUGAAAUGAGUAGUUGUUAUUAAUUUAUGGUACUCAAAAUGAAAAGUGUUGAAGAUGAUUACGUACAGAAGUUCUACGUAUUGUCGGAAACAUUUAGAAUGGAAUGUUCUUUUCCUGGGUUUGGUUUUGUUGGUUAAGUAAUCUACUGCUUUUAGGCUACGAGUUGAGUCGUAUGGGUGAUUGAACAUAGUUAUAACAGGAAGCAAGCCCCCACUAAGAUAUGGAACAGGACACAGAACAAGAACUCAAUGACGGAGGAGAGUUUGCAUGCUCCGUGUGUGGGAUGUCUGAACAUUACAGUUACAAGGGGAGGGAGCCCCCGUUCUGUAAGAAGAUACGUCUCGUGGCGGAGAGCUACGUGAUGAAAGAUCCCUUCUCUCCUCCAAACAGCAACCAGUUCCUAAUCCUCGGCUCCGACUGUUCGCUGUGCAAGAACCCCGUAUGUCAGGACUGCAGCAUAUUUUACUGCAAGCCAUUCUGCCUUACGUGUGCUCACAAGAACAUAGACCAUUUCCCUCAGCAAGUCAAAGCCAAACUUAACUCUAUAAAAACGGAGUGAAGCCAUUUAUAAGUUGCAAAUAUUUUUAUUUUAUUUUUGUUUUGUUGUAUGCUACCCACCUUUGUGUGAUCUCUUUUUUUUUAACUGACAGCCAGUCCCUUUUAUUUACUAGGCGUUUGCUAAAAAUCCAGAGAUGCCAAUACCAAACCAAAAUUGACAUUAAAAAUAUAAAUAAUAGAUAGUAUUUGUUUAUUUACUUGGAGUUUUUCCUGUCACAUCCAACAUUUUUAAACUGUCUCUCUUUUGAUCAAACAAAGAUAUUGAUAAUUAUCAUACAAAAGACUAAUAAUAUUUUAUUGUGCUUCAUGUUAACAGUUGUUUGUUGUCUUGUGUUUCAUUAAUGUUAAUAAAAUAACAGAUAAACUGCAAAAAAAA
Long non-coding RNA from Bacillus rossius redtenbacheri, 993 nucleotides. RefSeq lists it as uncharacterized. The record is from RefSeq and is a predicted model, not a curated record. The transcript is spliced from 2 exons. Lineage: Eukaryota; Metazoa; Arthropoda; Insecta; Phasmatodea; Bacillidae.